Molecule: ribosomal RNA, 315 nt
Filed under: uncultured soil bacterium
Lineage: Bacteria
Description: bacterial SSU rRNA
Rfam family: Bacterial small subunit ribosomal RNA
Source: RNAcentral
AGAUUGAACGCUGGCGGCAGGCCUAACACAUGCAAGUCGAGCGGCAGCACGGGUACUUGUACCUGGUGGCGAGCGGCGGACGGGUGAGUAAUGCCUAGGAAUCUGCCUGGUAGUGGGGGAUAACGCUCGGAAACGGACGCUAAUACCGCAUACGUCCUACGGGAGAAAGCAGGGGACCUUCGGGCCUUGCGCUAUCAGAUGAGCCUAGGUCGGAUUAGCUAGUUGGUGGGGUAAUGGCUCACCAAGGCGACGAUCCGUAACUGGUCUAGAGAGGAUGAUCAGUUCACACUGGAACUGAGACACGGUCCAGACUCC